RNAcentral lists this ribosomal RNA (467 nucleotides) under uncultured bacterium. RNAcentral describes it as "partial 16S ribosomal RNA". It matches the Rfam family "Bacterial small subunit ribosomal RNA", at positions 29 to 507 of the family's 1533-position model. The record is from RNAcentral.
ACGCACGCUGGCGGCGUGCUUCACCCCUGCCGGGCGAACGGAAAGGCCCUGCUUUUGUGGGGUGCUCGAGUGGCGAACGGGGGAGGAACACGUGAGUAACCUGCCCUUGACUUUGGGAUAACUUCAGGAAACUGGGGCUAAUACCGGAUAGGAGCUCCUGCUGCAUGGUGGGGGUUGGAAAGUUUCGGCGGUUGGGGAUGGACUCGCGGCUUAUCGGCUUGUUGGUGGGGUAGGGGCUUACCAAGGCUUUGACGGGUAGCCGGCCUGAGAGGGUGACCGGCCACAUUGGGACUGAGAUACGGCCCAGACUCCUACGGGAGGCAGCAGUGGGGAAUAUUGCACAAUGGGCGGAAGCCUGAUGCAGCAACGCCGCGUGCGGGAUGACGGCCUUCGGGUUGUAAACCGCUUUCGCCUGUGACGAAGCGUGAGUGACGGUAAUGGGUAAAGAAGCACCGGCUAACUACGUG